Molecule: ribosomal RNA, 402 nt
Filed under: uncultured Actinomycetales bacterium
Lineage: Bacteria; Bacillati; Actinomycetota; Actinomycetes; Actinomycetales
Description: bacterial SSU rRNA
Rfam family: Bacterial small subunit ribosomal RNA
Source: RNAcentral
CCAGACUCCUACGGGAGGCAGCAGUGGGGAAUAUUGCACAAUGGGCGCAAGCCUGAUGCAGCGACGCCGCGUGGGGGAUGACGGCCUUCGGGUUGUAAACUCCUUUCGCUAGGGACGAAGCUUUUUGUGACGGUACCUAGAUAAGAAGCACCGGCUAACUACGUGCCAGCAGCCGCGGUAAUACGUAGGGUGCGAGCGUUGUCCGGAAUUACUGGGCGUAAAGGGCUCGUAGGUGGUUUGUCGCGCCGUCUGUGAAAUUCCGGGGCUUAACUCCGGGCGUGCAGGCGAUACGGGCAUAACUUGAGUACUGUAGGGGUAACUGGAAUUCCUGGUGUAGCGGUGAUAUGCGCAGAUAUCAGGAGGAACACCGAUGGCGAAGGCAGGUUACUGGGCAGUUACUGA